This 562-nucleotide ribosomal RNA is filed under the name uncultured Alphaproteobacteria bacterium. RNAcentral describes it as "bacterial SSU rRNA". It matches the Rfam family "Bacterial small subunit ribosomal RNA", at positions 335 to 915 of the family's 1533-position model. The record is from RNAcentral. Lineage: Bacteria; Pseudomonadati; Pseudomonadota; Alphaproteobacteria.
ACUCCUACGGGAGGCAGCAGUGGGGAAUAUUGGACAAUGGGCGCAAGCCUGAUCCAGCAAUGCCGCGUGAGUGAUGAAGGCCUUAGGGUUGUAAAGCUCUUUUACCCGGGAUGAUAAUGACAGUACCGGGAGAAUAAGCCCCGGCUAACUCCGUGCCAGCAGCCGCGGUAAUACGGAGGGGGCUAGCGUUGUUCGGAAUUACUGGGCGUAAAGGGCGCGUAGGCGGCUUGCCAAGUCAGGCGUGAAAGCCCCGGGCUCAACCCGGGAAUUGCGCUUGAUACUGUUGCGCUUGAAUCCAGGAGAGGAUGGCGGAAUUCCCAGUGUAGAGGUGAAAUUCGUAGAUAUUGGGAAGAACACCAGUGGCGAAGGCGGCUAUCUGGACUGGCAUUGACGCUGAGGCGCGAAAGCGUGGGGAGCAAACAGGAUUAGAUACCCUGGUAGUCCACGCCGUAAACGAUGAGUGCUAGACGCUGGUAGGUUUACCUAUCGGUGUCGCAGCUAACGCAUUAAGCACUCCGCCUGGGGAGUACGGUCGCAAGAUUAAAACUUAAAGGAAUUGACG